CCUGUAGCGCAUAGGAUAGCACAUUGGACUUCUGAUCCAAAGGGCGUGGGUUCGAGUCCCACUGGCUUGA
Non-coding RNA from Trichonephila clavipes, 70 nucleotides. The record is from the annotation of a GenBank genome assembly. NCBI's taxonomy places the organism in Eukaryota, Metazoa, Arthropoda, Arachnida, Araneae, Nephilidae.